Molecule: ribosomal RNA, 777 nt
Filed under: Japanema entomophagus
Lineage: Eukaryota; Metazoa; Nematoda; Chromadorea; Rhabditida; Aphelenchoididae
Description: partial 28S ribosomal RNA
Rfam family: Eukaryotic large subunit ribosomal RNA
Source: RNAcentral
ACAAGUACCGUGAGGGAAAGUUGAAAAGUACUUUGAAAAGAGAGUGCAAGAGAACGUGAAACCGGAGUAAUGGAAGCGAAUGGAGCUAACGUAUCUAGUGCGUAUUCAGCUGUUGAUAAUGUUGAUCGCGGGUGUGAGUAUUCUGCAAAGUUGCUCUGCUUGUGUUGUUGGCGUUGUUGGCGGUGCAUUUGCGUACAGAGUGCGCCGGGUUGUUCGAUGUUGUCGUACGAAGCGAGUAAAGAGGACGCGAGUUUCGGCUUGUGAAACCUUUUCGCGUCUAGUUCGGUUAGCGUUGGAUAAUUUUGUGGAGUUGUCGGUUCAUACGUGCUUGGCGUUGUCGAUGGUUUUGGUUUAAGGUGUACACAUGUGUGCGCUCUUUACUGAGGUCAACGAUGGUGUCGAGUGCUCGGCAUUCUUCCCGGUGUAUAGUUGGUGACCUAUUCGACCCGUCUUGAAACACGGACCAAGGAGUUUAUGGUAUACGCGAGUCAUUGGGCUUUAAACCCAAAGGCGAAAUGAAAGUGAGACGGUACCCGUCUUAAUGUGAGCAAGCGUUUCGGCGUUUGUGCAACAUUGCCCCGUUUCGAAGAUUUAUCUUGUUGCGGAGGUUGAGCGUAUGCCAUGAGACCCGAAAGAUGGUGAACUAUGCCUGAGCAGGAUGAAGCCAGAGGAAACUCUGGUGGAAGUCCGAAGCGGUUCUGACGUGCAAAUCGAUCGUCUGACUUGGGUAUAGGGGCGCAAGACUAAUCGAACCAUCUAGUAGCUGGUUCCUUCCGA